This 357-nucleotide transfer RNA is filed under the name uncultured Microcystis sp. RNAcentral's name for it is "partial 16S-23S ribosomal RNA intergenic spacer". The stretch from base 133 to 206 matches the Rfam family "tRNA". Lineage: Bacteria; Bacillati; Cyanobacteriota; Cyanophyceae; Chroococcales; Microcystaceae. The record is from RNAcentral.
AAGGGAGACCUAAUUCGGGUAGAAGACGAGAAAAUAGUAGUCGAAACCAAGAAUCAAUCCCAAAAGGUCGGAACGAGGUAUGUGGCUUUCAAACUAGGUUCUGGGUUCACAAAAGACCUGAAUCAGGAACAAGGGCUAUUAGCUCAGGUGGUUAGAGCGCACCCCUGAUAAGGGUGAGGUCCCUGGUUCGAGUCCAGGAUGGCCCACCUGCACAGGUGGCAAAAACAAGAGAAACGAGGAAUCAGCACCUUAUCUUACUUACAUAGUAAGAGAGAAUGCUGGCUCUGAGUAAAGAGUCCAGAGGAACCUUGAAAACUGCAUAGAGCUAGGUGAAAAAGCCAAAAAAGAAGACCGCAA